Long non-coding RNA from Arvicanthis niloticus (Nile rat), 947 nucleotides. RefSeq lists it as uncharacterized. NCBI's taxonomy places the organism in Eukaryota, Metazoa, Chordata, Mammalia, Rodentia, Muridae. The record is from RefSeq and is a predicted model, not a curated record.
AGAGGGGAAAGGGCGCGGGAAGUACAGGACGCAGUGUCCUAGUGCUCAGUUGGGUCGGCUUCUGCAGCUCGGAUUGUCCCGGUCCAAGACUGCGGAAUGAAGAGUCAGGCUGGAAGCCGAUUCAAGCCCCGACUUCGGCCUCAGUCCUCUUUCCCUACCAAGGAUGGCUUCAGGCUUCCGAAGUUGGUGGGUUGGACUUUAUCUCUUUUUUUGCUUUGAGAACCUGUGUGUAAACAAACCCUCGCUGCCCUGCAAAGGAAUCUGUGCAGAGCGCCACCAACUCCGAGGUGGGGGAAUAAGUGUUUGGAGAUGCCUGAGGUAUGGUCCUUACCCGCGUGACAUGUGAAGGUUCAAGUAGAAAUCAGUGUUGAAAACUUCAUGGAGGAUUCAUUAUUUCUGCCCUGAAUUGGAAUUAAUUCCUUAUUGACUUAUUAUUACUGUACUAAAAGCGUUUUUAAUUAACCAUGGUAUUUGUUUGGGUAAGACCUUUGUUUUGGUAAGGUUUUACAAGAGCUUAUAAGUGAUCAUAUACUCUUCUGGUAUAUGUAAGCGUUAAUAUUUUUAAGUCCACAUGAUAGAUUAUCUAUUUUAAAACUUAGUAAAGCUGUGUCAUCUCUAUGGUCCCAGAGAAUACGCUCAGUUGCCAGCGUGAGUCCCCGUAUUACACCGGGCACUUGCACAUUAUUUUCAUUCAGCCUGCAUAAGUGAUUUUUCAAAAGCUGUUUCUCCACCAUCUUGUCCAUCCAAUGUCAUAAAUCUUCCUAAACAAGCAACUAAACUCUUGUUUCUGGCAAAUGCUAUUUCAUACAAGGCGGUAUCUGUGUUGUUAGAACAGGAUUUUUGUUCUAAUUAUUGAAUUUGUUUUUUUAAAAAAUCAAAACUUUAAUCAAUACAGAAAAACUUCAAGAAGUCAAUGGUGAUCUGAAUAAAAAUUUAUUUAAACCCUU